GCUACCUCUCCUCAGAUCUUUCUUUCUCCAGCUGGACGGUAGAACUGACAGGGGAUCUGGAGACCAUCUCCCACUUCCUGGCUGAGACCGAGGGCCCAGAGGUGGGACCGAAUCACCCCGAGGCAGUCACAGAAGCCUGGGCCAGUGCUGUCCACGUACAUAUGUUUUCCUGCCUUCUUUGAGUCUAUAUCUGGUGUAUGAGAUAUAGUGAAAACGUUUUCUGGGAGUUCCAGUAAAGCUGCAUAAAAGGCAAGAGGUGAGAAUUGCUGCUGAGAACCCGGGGAUUGAACUUGAUGGUCAACCACAGUAUAUGGCGAAUUUCCUAACAAAUUUGGGGAUGAUCCAGCUUUGGGAGAGGAGAAAAGAAAACUAUAUUGAUUUCUGCUACAUGUUUUGGAGGCUCUGCUGUUUGGUGAAAACACAUUAGGCUUGUUGUCUUUCUGGUGGAUCGAUUCUCUUAUUGUUGUCUAAUGUGCCUCUUUUCUUCUAAUAAUACUGCCUGUUCUGAAGUCUACUUUAUCUAAUAUUAAUAUAGCCAGUCCUGCUUUUUAAAAAUUAACAUUAGCAUGGUGUACUUUUCCAUCCUUUU
This 589-nucleotide long non-coding RNA is filed under the name Mustela putorius furo (domestic ferret). Its description in RNAcentral is "lncRNA (ENSMPUG00000030197.1)". Lineage: Eukaryota; Metazoa; Chordata; Mammalia; Carnivora; Mustelidae. The record is from RNAcentral.